GAUGAACGCUAGCGAUAGGCCUAACACAUGCAAGUCGAGGGGCAGCAUAGAGUAGCAAUACUUUGAUGGCGACCGGCGCACGGGUGAGUAACACGUAUGCAACCUACCUACAUCAGGGGAAUAACCCGGAGAAAUUCGUACUAAAACCGCAUAAUACAGGGAUGCCGCAUGGCAAUAUUUGUUAAAGAUUUAUCGGAUGUAGAUGGGCAUGCGUUCCAUUAGCUAGUUGGUAAGGUAACGGCUUACCAAGGCAACGAUGGAUAGGGGAACUGCGAUGUUGGGCGCCCACACCAAAACUGAGCGAGAGACAAGACACCUACGGGAGGGAGCAGUGAGAAAUAUUGGUAAAUGGACAAGAGUCGGAACCAGCCACAUCGCGGGAAGGAAGACUGUCCUACGGGUUGUAAUCUUCUUUUGUACAGGAAUAAAAGACAUUACGUUUAAUGUAUUGCAUGUACUGUACGAAUAAGCAUCGGCUAACUCCGUGCCAGCCGCCGCCGUAA
This 503-nucleotide ribosomal RNA is filed under the name uncultured bacterium. RNAcentral's name for it is "partial 16S ribosomal RNA". It matches the Rfam family "Bacterial small subunit ribosomal RNA", at positions 28 to 523 of the family's 1533-position model. The record is from RNAcentral.